RNAcentral lists this ribosomal RNA (491 nucleotides) under uncultured bacterium. RNAcentral's name for it is "partial 16S ribosomal RNA". It matches the Rfam family "Bacterial small subunit ribosomal RNA", at positions 29 to 506 of the family's 1533-position model. The record is from RNAcentral.
AGUGAACGCUGGCGGUAGGCCUAACACAUGCAAGUCGAACGGCAGCACAGUAAGAGCUUGCUCUUACGGGUGGCGAGUGGCGGACGGGUGAGGAAUACAUCGGAAUCUACUUUUUCGUGGGGGAUAACGUAGGGAAAUUUACGCUAAUACCGCAUACGACCUACGGGUGAAAGCAGGGGAUCUUCGGACCUUGCGCGAUUGAAUGAGCCGAUGUCGGAUUAGCUAGUUGGCGGGGUAAAGGCCCACCAAGGCGACGAUCCGUAGCUGGUCUGAGAGGAUGAUCAGCCACACUGGAACUGAGACACGGUCCAGACUCCUACGGGAGGCAGCAGUGGGGAAUAUUGGACAAUGGGCGCAAGCCUGAUCCAGCCAUACCGCGUGGGUGAAGAAGGCCUUCGGGUUGUAAAGCCCUUUUGUUGGGAAAGAAAAGCAGCAGGUUAAUACCCCGCUGUUCUGACGGUACCCAAAGAAUAAGCACCGGCUAACUUCGU